Molecule: transfer RNA, 84 nt
Filed under: Candidatus Saccharimonadota bacterium
Lineage: Bacteria; Candidatus Saccharimonadota
Description: tRNA-Leu
Rfam family: tRNA
About the family: Transfer RNA (tRNA) molecules are approximately 80 nucleotides in length.
Source: RNAcentral
GCGGAUGUGGUGGAAUGGUAGACACGCUAGUUUUAGGAACUAGUGCCGCAAGGCGUGGAGGUUCAAGUCCUCUCAUCCGUACCA